CCCCAUAACAGGGUUGACUUAAAUGUUUAGUAGAUAUAGUCUCCCAAAAGUCUGUGCGCAGUUUUAAGUUAAUAACCUCAGAAGUAAAUAUACCACAAACUUAACAGAAGACAUCAUUCGAAAGUUUGAUAAAUUCAGUUUCUUUGAGGCAUAUGUAACUUUGUGAAUUUUGAGUGACAUAUUUUUUCAUUUCAAUUUUGUGUGGUCAGUGCUUACCAUCUUCAAUCAGAGGAGCAAAAAGGAAGAGUUCAGACUUAAAAUGUAGUAUUCAGAAUUGGCAGAACUACAUCCAUGUCAGAGAAAGUUCAUUUUCAGACCAUUGGUAGGUAUCUAGCAUCGAUGUUGGUGAAGCUGUUCAGCCUCAAAGCUGCAACAAGGUAACUUAGGAUACCUGCUUGUUGGCUGAAUGAGUGCAGGAACCAGGAGGUUGGUAGCUCAGGAAGCCAUCACCCCAGCCAGCUAUCUUCUCUGUGUACCUCUUUCUCCCCCUCUUGUAUGACCCCCA
This 505-nucleotide long non-coding RNA is filed under the name Bos taurus (domestic cattle). Its description in RNAcentral is "long non-coding RNA NONBTAT022966". Lineage: Eukaryota; Metazoa; Chordata; Mammalia; Artiodactyla; Bovidae. The record is from RNAcentral.